UAAUGCUCCAUAGUGGAUAUGUCCUGGAAUGGUAUAUCCUCGAAAGAUCCGUCGCCUUAGGAUGGGACUGCGUCCGAUUAGGUUGUUGGCGGGGUAACGGCCCACCAAGCCAUUGAUCGGUACGGGUUGUGGGAGCAAGAUCCCGGAGAUGGAUUCUGAGACAUGAAUCCAGGCCCUACGGGGCGCAGCAGGCGCGCAAACUUUACAAUGCGAGCAAUCGUGAUAAGGAAACCCUGAGUGCCUGUCGAUGCAGGCUGUUCAUAUAUCUAAAUCAUAUGUGAAGAAAGGGCAGGGCAAGACCGGUGCCAGCCGCCGCGGUAAUACCGGCUGCUCGAGUGAUGGCCACUAUUACUGGGUUUAAAGCGUCCGUAGCUUGACUGUUAGGUCUCUUGGGAAAUCUUCACGCUCAACGUGAAGGCGUCUAAGAGAUACCGGCAGUCUUGGAACUGGGAGAGGUAAACCGUACUUCGGGGGUAGGAGUGAAAUCUUGUAAUCCUCGAGGGACGACCUAUGGCGAAGGCAGUUUACCAGAACAGCUUCGACAGUGAGGGACGAAAGCUGGGGGAACAAACGGGAUUAGAUACCCCGGUAAUCCCAGCCGUAAACAAUGUGCGUUAGGUGU
This 622-nucleotide ribosomal RNA is filed under the name uncultured archaeon. RNAcentral's name for it is "bacterial SSU rRNA". It matches the Rfam family "Archaeal small subunit ribosomal RNA", at positions 147 to 774 of the family's 1478-position model. The record is from RNAcentral.